This 441-nucleotide ribosomal RNA is filed under the name uncultured bacterium. RNAcentral describes it as "partial 16S ribosomal RNA". It matches the Rfam family "Bacterial small subunit ribosomal RNA", at positions 338 to 795 of the family's 1533-position model. The record is from RNAcentral.
CCUACGGGAGGCAGCAGUGGGGGAUAUUGCACAAUGGGGGGAACCCUGAUGCAGCGACGCCGCGUGGGUGAAGGAGCGUUUCGGCGCGUAAAGCCCUAUCGGCAGUGAAGAAGGAGGACGGUACCUGACUAAGAAGCCCCGGCUAACUACGUUCCAGCAGCCGCGGUACUACGUAGGGGGCAGGCGUUAUCCGGAUUUACUGGGUUGAAAGGGGGCGCAGACGGCAGCGCAAGCCAGUAGUGAAAGCCCGGGGCCCAACCCCGGGACUGCUCUUGGAACUGCGCGGCUGGAGUGCAGGAGGGGCAGGAGGAAUUCCUGGUGUAGCGGUGAAAUGCGUAGAUAUCAGGAGGAACACCGGUGGCGAAGGCGGCCGGCUGGACUGCGACUGACGUUGAGGCCCGAAAGCGUGGGGAGCAAACAGGAUUAGAUACCCCAGUAGUC